RNAcentral lists this ribosomal RNA (497 nucleotides) under uncultured bacterium. RNAcentral's name for it is "partial 16S ribosomal RNA". It matches the Rfam family "Bacterial small subunit ribosomal RNA", at positions 28 to 507 of the family's 1533-position model. The record is from RNAcentral.
GAUGAACGCUGGCGGCGUGCCUAAUACAUGCAAGUCGAGCGAACAGACGAGGAGCUUGCUCCUCUGACGUUAGCGGCGGACGGGUGAGUAACACGUGGAUAACCUACCUAUAAGACUGGGAUAACUUCGGGAAACCGGAGCUAAUACCGGAUAAUAUAUUGAACCGCAUGGUUCAAUAGUGAAAGACGGUUUUGCUGUCACUUAUAGAUGGAUCCGCGCCGCAUUAGCUAGUUGGUAAGGUAACGGCUUACCAAGGCAACGAUGCGUAGCCGACCUGAGAGGGUGAUAGGCCACACGGGAACUGAGACACGGUCCAGACUACUACGGGAGGCAGCAGUAGGGAAUCUUCCGCAAUGGGCGAAAGCCUGACGGAGCAACGCCGCGUGAGUGAUGAAGGUCUUGGGAUCGUAAAACUCUGUUAUUAGGGAAGAACAAAUGUGUAAGUAACUAUGCACGUCUUGACGGUACCUAAUCAGAAAGCCACGGCUAACUACGUG